GGGGCCGACCGGUUUUGACGGUAUGAUGGGUCAUGUACUUGCGUGCCGGGUGAAGAGUGUACAUCCGUAAGCAAUUCACUCAAACUAUAAUUGGCGAGAAUAACUACGCCAUGGCUGCCUAAUUUCUGACUUCUUUGAAGCGGAAUGGACUUUGCGGUUGAGUCGACGGUAAACAUCGACUCCCGAGCCACAUCCCACAGUGCCUUGUUUUGUCGGUGCUGAACCGGGGUGACGAUCAGGCAAGACUAGCGUCACGAUGCUGCUAAGUGAUUGCGAAACUUUAGCAGAUAAGCUGUAGAUAGGAACGUUACCUUUCCAGUAUGCAGUCGAAAACCUGACAGGUAACUACGCAUGUAGACGGUGCAAUGAGUCGCUUAUCCGGACGAGGGUUCGAAUCCCUCCGGCUCCACAG
This 412-nucleotide transfer-messenger RNA is filed under the name Cyclobacteriaceae. RNAcentral describes it as "Mangrovivirga sp012926615 Standard tmRNA". It matches the Rfam family "transfer-messenger RNA". Rfam says of the family: Bacterial tmRNA, also known as 10Sa RNA or SsrA, is named for its dual tRNA and mRNA-like properties. Its role is to liberate the mRNA from a stalled ribosome. The record is from RNAcentral. RNAcentral also lists the same sequence under 1 other name. Lineage: Bacteria; Pseudomonadati; Bacteroidota; Cytophagia; Cytophagales.